Molecule: ribosomal RNA, 255 nt
Filed under: uncultured bacterium
Lineage: Bacteria
Description: partial 16S ribosomal RNA
Rfam family: Bacterial small subunit ribosomal RNA
Source: RNAcentral
UACGUAGGGUGCGAGCGUUGUCCGGAAUUACUGGGCGUAAAGAGCUCGUAGGUGGUUUGUCGCGUUGUCCGUGAAAACUCACAACUCAAUUGUGGGCGUGCGGGCGAUACGGGCAGACUGGAGUACUGCAGGGGGGAGACUGGAAUUCCUGGUGUAGCGGUGGAAUGCGCAGAUAUCAGGAGGAACACCGGUGGCGAAGGCGGGUCUCUGGGCAGUAACUGACGCUGAGGAGCGAAAGCGUGGGGAGCGAACAGG